UUUCAAAUAUACAGUAAACACUACCGAAUGUCUUCUGAAUAUGACGGAGGAGCGUCAGCUGUAACACAACUUAAGGCCUAUACUUGACCGACACAUAUUCUCCAGCGCACAAGACCAGCAAAGAAGACUACGUCAGAUAAGUAUGCUCACAUCCUUUGCUCUUCAACAGACUACGUGGAGCACAGAAGAGACUCCCCGCAGGCGGUGAGUUGAAUGGGCCCUGAUCAGAAGGCGGCCUACAGGGUUACCGUGUCCGACCGACUCUCCUGUCAUCUCUCAAAGAAUGAUCUCCACGACCCUGAGAUGGGCAGCAAUGUCAGUGCCCAUCAUAUAGGUCACAUCACCAUGUCUUAUUCUGGAUUAUAGGUCACAUCAUCAUGUCUUAUUCUGGAUUAUAGGUCACAUCAUCAUGUCUUAUUCUGGAUUAAAGGUCACAUCACCAUGUCCUAUACUGGAUUAAAGGUCACAUCACCAUGUCUUAUUCUGGAUUAAAGGUCACAUCACCAUG
Long non-coding RNA from Esox lucius (northern pike), 508 nucleotides. RefSeq lists it as uncharacterized. The record is from RefSeq and is a predicted model, not a curated record. The transcript is spliced from 4 exons. NCBI's taxonomy places the organism in Eukaryota, Metazoa, Chordata, Actinopteri, Esociformes, Esocidae.